UCCUGCCUGGUCUGGCCGGUCUGGCCGGUCUGGCCGGUCUGGCCGGUCUGGCCGUCCCGCUCGGCCGGCGGGGG
RNAcentral lists this transfer RNA (74 nucleotides) under Nonomuraea cavernae. RNAcentral describes it as "tRNA-Gln". The record is from RNAcentral. Lineage: Bacteria; Bacillati; Actinomycetota; Actinomycetes; Streptosporangiales; Streptosporangiaceae.